GUGCACGCUGGCGGUAGGCCUAACCCAUGCCAGUCGAACGGCAGCACCGUUAGAGCUUGCUCUUACGGGUGGCGAGUGGCGGACGGGUGAGGAAUACAUCGGAAUCUACUUUUUCGUGGGGGAUAACGUAGGGAAACUUACGCUAAUACCGCAUACGACCUACGGGUGAAAGCAGGGGAUCUUCGGACCUUGCGCGAUUGAAUGAGCCGAUGUCGGAUUAGCUAGUUGGCGGGGUAAAGGCCCACCAAGGCGACGAUCCGUAGCUGGUCUGAGAGGAUGAUCAGCCACACUGGAACUGAGACACGGUCCAGACUCCUACGGGAGGCAGCAGUGGGGAAUAUUGGACAAUGGGCGCAAGCCUGAUCCAGCCAUACCGCGUGGGUGAAGAAGGCCUUCGGGUUGUAAAGCCCUUUUGUUGGGAAAGAAAAGCAGCAGGUUAAUACCCCGCUGUUCUGACGGUACCCAAAGAAUAAGCACCGGCUAACUUCGUG
Molecule: ribosomal RNA, 491 nt
Filed under: uncultured bacterium
Lineage: Bacteria
Description: partial 16S ribosomal RNA
Rfam family: Bacterial small subunit ribosomal RNA
Source: RNAcentral